Molecule: non-coding RNA, 47 nt
Filed under: Trichobilharzia regenti
Lineage: Eukaryota; Metazoa; Platyhelminthes; Trematoda; Strigeidida; Schistosomatidae
Source: RNAcentral
AUCCAGUGACGAGUCCCAAAUAGGACGAAAUGCACUUUGUCCCGGAU